GAUGAACGCUGGCGGCGUGCUUAACACAUGCAAGUCGAACGGAAAGGCCCAAGCUUGCUUGGGUACUCGAGUGGCGAACGGGUGAGUAACACGUGGGUGAUCUGCCCUGCACUUCGAGAUAAGCCUGGGAAACUGGGUCUAAUACCGGAUAGGACCACAUUUUGGAUGGUGUGGUGGAAAGUUUUUCGGUGUGGGAUGAGCUCGCGGCCUAUCAGCUUGUUGGUGGGGUAAUGGCCUACCAAGGCGUCGACGGGUAGCCGGCCUGGGAGGGUGUACGGCCACAUUGGGACUGAGAUACGGCCCAGACGCCUACGGGAGGCAGCAGUGGGGAAUAUUGCACAAUGGGCGCAAGCCUGAUGCAGCGACGCCGCGUGGGGGAUGACGGCCUUCGGGUUGUAAACUCCUUUCGCUAGGGACGAAGCGUUUUUGUGACGGUACCUGGAGAAGAAGCACCGGCUAACUACGU
This 466-nucleotide ribosomal RNA is filed under the name uncultured bacterium. Its description in RNAcentral is "partial 16S ribosomal RNA". It matches the Rfam family "Bacterial small subunit ribosomal RNA", at positions 28 to 506 of the family's 1533-position model. The record is from RNAcentral.